RNAcentral lists this ribosomal RNA (253 nucleotides) under uncultured bacterium. Its description in RNAcentral is "partial 16S ribosomal RNA". It matches the Rfam family "Bacterial small subunit ribosomal RNA", at positions 524 to 776 of the family's 1533-position model. The record is from RNAcentral.
GACGAACCGUGCGAACGUUGUUCGGAAUCACUGGGCUUAAAGGGCGCGUAGGCGGCUUGCCAAGUCGGGGGUGAAAUCUUUCGGCCCAACCGGAAAAGUGCCCCCGAUACUGGCAGGCUCGAGCGAGGCAGGGGCGGGGGGAACUUCCGGUGGAGCGGUGAAAUGCGUUGAUAUCGGAAGGAACGCCGGUGGCGAAAGCGCCCCGCUGGGCCUCUCCUGACGCUGAGGCGCGAAAGCCAGGGGAGCAAACGGG